UACCGUCUCUUCCAUCUCCAAGGU
Molecule: non-coding RNA, 24 nt
Filed under: Arabidopsis thaliana (thale cress)
Lineage: Eukaryota; Viridiplantae; Streptophyta; Magnoliopsida; Brassicales; Brassicaceae
Source: RNAcentral